CGCUUAAGUUCUCGGGUUCCGCGGCAGACCUGGUUGGAGAUAGUUUCCUUUCCUUGAGUUGAUCUGUUGAGCGUGGAUUCAAUCGAGAGGCAUAACCGAGUAUCAGGUAGAGGUACAGCGAGGGGCAGACCGACGAGAGGCAGGAAGGAUGCGUGAAGGCCAUAUGGACGCGUCUGGUUUUCUUAAUCGCUUCCGCUAUGUAUUUUGUCAGCAUAUUUUGACUUGUGAUUUUGAACUGGUGCCUUGAUAUUUUUAUUUUGUGACUUUCUUGAUUUAUUUAAAAUAGGGCCCGAAACUGUCUUUUGUAAGGUUUCUAAUGUUUCAAUGAAUCGUAACUGGUCUGUUUUAAAUUUUAUGUUGAAUGGUCGAGUUUUGGUAUUUGGUAGUGACCUCAGCUUAGUCCGGAAAGUUGGGUC
This is a long non-coding RNA of Cucumis melo (muskmelon), 416 nucleotides long. RefSeq lists it as uncharacterized. Lineage: Eukaryota; Viridiplantae; Streptophyta; Magnoliopsida; Cucurbitales; Cucurbitaceae. The transcript has 3 exons. The record is from RefSeq and is a predicted model, not a curated record.